Long non-coding RNA from Struthio camelus australis, 1711 nucleotides. The record is from Ensembl. Lineage: Eukaryota; Metazoa; Chordata; Aves; Struthioniformes; Struthionidae.
CUUAUUUAUAUCCCUUUCCUUCUACUUUCACAUGAGGAAUUUGUUUUUUCUUUGAUCACAAUAUUUCAACUGAAAUAUUGUUAUAAACAAAUGUGCCAACUCUUUAUUAACCCCAGCAGUGUAAUCUCUCAUUACAAGACUCUGAUUCAGAGGAAACAGCGUUGCUAAAACAGCUACAGAGUCCUAGCAAAAAUGACAGCUUUCCUCAAUCAGUUCCUUUUGUGACCUUGAUCUGAACUUUAAUCUGUUUUAACAAAAUUCUUUUUAUUAGCCAUUCAUACUUAAUCAUACUGCUAAUUUUCCUGUUUUUAAACUAUCAAUUUAUAGCAGCUUUUUCAUGUAACUAAUCAGGGCUGAGGUAUGUUAUUUUGGCUGUGAUUUCUGAUAAUUAUUCUUAAGAGUUUUUUAAGUCUGCGUUUUCCAUAGAUAGCUGUCAAAAUUCUAGAUUCGGGUUGACUGAGUUGUUUCUGUCGUAUUGCAUGUACAAGUCCGCUUUCUCAUCUUCAGUGAGAAUAGCCAUUACAAACGUUGUGUGAGGAAUCCGAGCCUCGUCUUCUUUUCUUUCCUUCCAUCAUCAGUUGCUUUUUAUUAGUAUUAUUAUUACAUUCAGGGAUUACUGGAGGGAAGAAGGGCUUUCAGGGUCGGGCCCUAUUCAAGAUAUUUAGAAUAGAAAAUAGACAUGUACUUGCACCUGUCUCUCAAAUAUUGUAAAAUGUUGGAGCUAGUGACUAGUGAUUUUUCUUUGCCUGUGAUAUUAAAGGAACAGAUUGCGUUACUAUACUUAUCUCUACCUUUACAAACAAAUACACCAGGAAAAUAUGUCAAGCAGAAGAAACCACGCUUGUUAUCACAUGCUUAGCUGCACUGACUACAGGUUUUUGUGCUUGUUGGCCAAAGCUUCAAGACACACUGUUGCUUCGUUCGGCUUGGGAGUGCAAAGGGAGCCGCUUUGUGUCUGUGGCGCGCGCUCAGCUCGAAUCCUGCCNNNNNNNNNNNNNNNNNNNNNNNNNNNNNNNNNNNNNNNNNNNNNNNNNNNNNNNNNNNNNNNNNNNNNNNNNNNNNCGGGCGGGGGAGGGGCGCGGGCGCUCGGAGCGGUGUGCGUGCGCAGCGGGAGCGGGGCGGGAGGGGGCGGGCGGCUGCCAGCCGCGCGACACUUCCCCCCGCGGCCGACGCUGGCAUCGGGACGACACGCGCGGACCCACUCGGCAAGCGGUCUCCAGCCUGAACGUCCCGCCGAGCGCUCGGGUGGGCCAGAAGAUUACUUUGGAGCUCGUGUAAGUGACACUCGGAGGAUCGGCCGGCAGCAGGUUCGGCGGCCCCGGCCCCCGGAGCCGCGGGAUGUCAUCCCCGUGACAUGCCUGGGAUCCCCGGCUCAUUCCCCAACUGUCCGGUCACAGCAGCGUCUCUGUCAUGUUGCACUUCAAGUCUGUCACUGGCACGGGUUCACGCUCCUCACCCGGCAACUCUGCUCUCUUUUGCUGAGGCUCGUGUUUUUAUUUUUAACACAGAGUCCUCCACAUCGGUGGUGACAGUGGGUUUCUCUUGCAAGAUGGGAUUCUGCCGUAGGAGAGGAUGGCUGGGAAUCGUACAGCAAAUGUACGCGCACGUGCUAGGAGAGGGCCUGCGCUCUGGCACUCUAGCUGUUGCAGUGGAAAUGGAAAAAAAAAAAAAAGCAUUUGUAAUAAAAAGCAAAAAAAAGUAUUUGUAAUGU